This 216-nucleotide unclassified non-coding RNA is filed under the name Protomyces inouyei. RNAcentral describes it as "partial internal transcribed spacer region". The stretch from base 1 to 46 matches the Rfam family "Eukaryotic small subunit ribosomal RNA", at positions 1786 to 1831 of the family's 1831-position model. Lineage: Eukaryota; Fungi; Ascomycota; Taphrinomycetes; Taphrinales; Protomycetaceae. The record is from RNAcentral.
AAGUCGUAACAAGGUUUCCGUAGGUGAACCUGCGGAAGGAUCAUUAAUGAAUUUGUCCUUUGGACAUUCUCUCAUACACUUGUGAACUUACACUGUUGCUUGGUGGAAGGCGGUCUGCACUUGUAGAUGCGCGCCACCGAGAUUUUUUCACUCAUUCUAUGUCUGAACACAAACAAAAAUAAAACAAAACUUUCAACAAUGGAUCUCUUGGCUCUG